Prosopis cineraria is the source of this 3181-nucleotide long non-coding RNA. RefSeq lists it as uncharacterized. The transcript has 2 exons. The record is from RefSeq and is a predicted model, not a curated record. NCBI's taxonomy places the organism in Eukaryota, Viridiplantae, Streptophyta, Magnoliopsida, Fabales, Fabaceae.
UUCAACCAUAAAAAAGUUUUUUUAUUCCCUUCUCUCUUUCCCCGAGAAUACGCGUCUGAACUGUGAAACGGAUCCAGAUAUAUCGAUUCCAGAAGCUUCAAUUCAUUGAGCCGACAAUCUCAUUCCUACACCUCGAUUGGUCAUUGCCGUCGUCGAUGCCGUGGGUUCUACUGUUCAAGCUCCUUCCUUCUCUGAUUGAAAACGCCUACGUCGAUCGUGGUCCUUUAUUCUGUGUAGCGUGUGUGUGUUCAGAUCUCCUUCUCCAUUCAUCUGCGUUCUUGUCCGUCGCUGCGGUGUCCGUGUUGCAUGGGUGUGUCCGAACUUCCUCCCCUUUUUUUUUUCAGAUGUGCGUCGACAAUGGGUGCAGGGGGCGAUUCUCUAUUGUUGGUAGUGUGAGUCACGAGUUUUGUCUCCCCUGUUCCGUCUGUUCUGUCGGCUUCUUCCCUUCUUUGUCGUUGUUGAUUCAGAUAUGUUAGUUGAUGCUGUAUCUUCCGCUGAUCCUUAUGGGGCCAUAUUAUUCUAUUGAAAGGAAGAAUGGUAGAUCAAAUCAAUUUCAAUGCAAAUUUAAAUUUAUGUAUUAUAUUCAAAUUCUUAUAUUAGGUGCUCCACAUAAGCUGUAGUUAGGGUCCUCGCCCUUAUCGUUUGUAUUUUGUUAUCUACUGGUGAGAACAGAGUUCCUUGCUACUGCUAAUGUUUUGUAAAAUGGUUAUAAAUUUAUUUUUGGGAGAAUUUAUUGAGAGAGGCGGUUUUGCUGAAGUAUUUACAAAAAGUUUAGAAAUCUUUUAUAAAAUAUAUAUAUAUAUAUAUAUAUAUUGCAAUGAAUCACAUCCUAUUUCAAUCGAAUUAAAAUAUCAAAUUAGAGUUUCUUUGAUCGAGCCUUAAGAGAUGCAUGUUUGUACAUAUAUUUCAUACUAGUUAUGUUUAAAAUUUUAGGGCGUGACAGGAUUGAAAUUAAGAAUAGGUGAAUAUUUUGAAAUUUGAUUUUUUUAAGAGAAAGAGAGAAGAUCUUGUAUUUUAUUAAAAGAUAGUAAAAUAAAAAAAUAUUUAAAAAAUUUCAUAGAAAUUCAUGGAUCUAAACUAGAAAUGAUUUGCUCUCUUUUCAAAGCAUGCAAAGAGAAAGAUGUGAUAUUCAAAUAACGGAAAAUUAAUCUGCAUCUUCUUCAAGUUCUUUUCAAUUUUAAAUUAAAUUCUUGUAAUUUAUUUUUUUUAAUUACUUCUUUUAUUAGUAUUAUUUAUAAAAUUCUACUUAUUAAUACUUAAUUAAUACAAGGCUUUUAUUAUAAAAUUUAAUGAGAUUUUAGUAAAAUACAUUUUGAAAAAUGCUUGUAAAUCUUUUGUUCUUAGCUUAAAUAAUACCCAUUUAGCUCGUGUUUUUUGUUACUUCAUCUUAUGCUCUUCAGCUCUUCAUGCUUCUCUUGUGUUCAGUUAUAGUUAAUGCUGGCAGACAUGGGUUUGUGGUUCAUUUCAAAAAUUGAAAAAUUACAUGUGUUGGGAAACUUGUGGUACAUUAUAAACUUCAUUUAAAAUCUGACAUAUAACUCGAAUAUUUUUUACCUGAUGUUUUAUUGGAACCAAGAGUAAUUUAAACAUUUGAUUAUUUUUUAAGGAGAAUUGGUGAAAAGGACUAACUUGCAACCAAAAUUGGUCCCAAGGACCAAAUUCUGUUGAAGGACCAAGCUGAUUUUCUUAUUCUUUUAAUAAACCCUGGUAGGAUGAAAAUGGCCCUAUCAUAACAAACGAAUUUGUAAACAAAGACCACUCUAUGCUUGGUUUUUUUAUGCGAGUUGAACAGGAGAAGAUGGCCAGGGACGUUUUUAAGGGACCAUCAAUAGUGGUGUGAGCUGUGAGCAAGUCAUGAUCGAUGAGCUUUGAGAAACACAGUCCCAUCUCUUCACACAAUGCCCUAAUUAGACAAGUUUUAAGGUUAUCGAGAGUUCCGACGGUGGAGCAAAUAGUGGCCUAAGUGAAAUACACCAGUGGUGAAAAUGAGCGUCACUAUUUCUUUGCUUGCCUAAUUGGAGGGUUAAGCUACAUGAAUGAUUUCCAUUAGUUGCCCAAUCUAAUGCACAAUAUCUUUAUGAUCAUUGCUUCUACCUGAUUAAAAGAAAAUGCUUUCAAACAAGACCAUGUAACUUGCAAUUACCACCUGUGUGGGAGGAUGCCUUGUCUAAUAGGUUGGUUAGGUAUGCUUAUAUUCUUCUAUCUAACUCUAAACUUAAAACAUCCCCUACCUAAGUGUUUUUUUUGUAAGUAUGAUCUACUCAGUUUUUCUUAUGAGUUCAUGCCCUCUUUCAUUUGGAUUUAUUUUGCCAUCUUUUAAUGCGAUCAUCACUCCUACAAAGAAGUUAAUCAUAUUGGUUUUUUUGAUGAAUGUAAUCAGCUUGUAAUUAGCAACUGUGACACUUUCAACUAGUUGCCUUUGUGAGGAUUUUAAAAAUGCUGUUAGCACCAAUGUAUCACUUACUAGUGAAAGAAAGCUACUAAUAUCUUAAGCACAAAGGCAAACUAGAUUGUAUUGUUCACAUGUAAAUAAAACCAAAUUACAGAUAAUACCUUUGAUCCGUUGAAAAUUUGACCAGUUGAGUAUAAAGACUUUUUUGCGAGCUCACCAUUUCUUCAUCUUCCUUAGCUGAAGUGCAAAAUUCUACUCUAAACGACCUUUCUCUUGAAGAGCACAAUCAGCAUUAAUAAAAGGAGAAGCUGAUACUUUGUGGCAUCCACGAAAACUUUGUGAAGACCAAGACUUUGCUUGAAGCAUCUCAACAACGUAGUAAAUCCCUUUAAGAGGACGUGUCUUGACUCAAGAAGAUGCUUUAAGGAGUAGAAUCCCAACAAACCUCUUGUGAGAUGGAGACUCAUCUUGGUGAGAUCAAUGCAAGAAUGAUAGAGCUUGAAGAAGGCUUAAAGAUUGUAGUAGAGAAAGUAGGCAUUGCAAGAACACUCAGUCAAGAGAUACAAGUAAGAGAUACAAGUGAAGCAACUUGCAACAAAGAUAGCUCUGAAGAAGUCCAAACUUGAAUUAGAGAGAUAGCAUUCAAUGUCUUAAUAUUUGUACAAGGAGGAAAAAGAACCUUAAUUGAUAUGAUUAAUAGAAAUCAGAAAAUGCUAGCUGAUGUAUAAAAAUAGUGUUCUACAUGGUAAUGUAUAACUUGGCCUCAAUGUUUGCUAUUAAAUUUAUACA